AGAGUUUGAUCCUGGCUCAGAACGAACGUUGGCGGCGCGCCUAACACAUGCAAGUCGCACGAGAAAGGGAGCAAUCCCCGGUACAGUGGCGCACGGGUGAGUAACACGUGGGUAACGUUCCCUUGAGCGGGGGAUAACCUUCCGAAAGGAGGGCUAAUACCGCAUAAGACCACAGCUGGUACGCCAGCAGAGGUUAAAGCAGGCCUCUACACGUAAGCUUGCACUCGAGGAUCGGCCCGCGGCCCAUCAGCUAGUUGGUGGUGUCAAAGACCACCAAGGCUAAGACGGGUAGCUGGUCUGAGAGGAUGAUCAGCCACACUGGAACUGAGACACGGUCCAGACUCCUACGGGAGGCAGCAGUGGGGAAUCUUGCGCAAUGGGCGAAAGCCUGACGCAGCGACGCCGCGUGGGUGAUGAAGGCCUUCGGGUUGUAAAGCCCUGUGGGGAGGGACGAAUAAGUUCGACCUAAUACGUCGAGCGAUGACGGUACCUCUUUAGCAAGCACCGGCUAACUCUGUGCCAGCAGCCGCGGUAAGACAGAGGGUGCAAACGUUGUUCGGAAUUACUGGGCGUAAAGCGCGUGUA
This 585-nucleotide ribosomal RNA is filed under the name uncultured bacterium. RNAcentral describes it as "bacterial SSU rRNA". It matches the Rfam family "Bacterial small subunit ribosomal RNA", at positions 8 to 573 of the family's 1533-position model. The record is from RNAcentral.